Molecule: long non-coding RNA, 4167 nt
Filed under: Lupinus angustifolius (narrow-leaved blue lupine)
Lineage: Eukaryota; Viridiplantae; Streptophyta; Magnoliopsida; Fabales; Fabaceae
Description: long non-coding RNA (LANG_LNC000297)
Source: RNAcentral
AAAAAAAAAGGAAAGGGAAAACCGAAGUUCGCGCUGGUCAAUCUCCAUCCUCCUCAUUUUGUUCUUCUUCAUCAAUUCAUUUGAUCUCCCCUCCAGCCAUUGCGCUUCUAUAGCAAAAUCCUCAUAGGAACCUUGUUGAAAAUUUGGACAUGAACCAAAAAUGCUAUGGAAGCUUUUGUGCAUGCCCAUGAUCCCUUGAUAUAAUGCAAUUUAUUGUUGAUUUUGAUAGUGUUGUUCUUGCAAAAUUGCAUCUAUCUUUGGUUUGAUGGUUCCUCUAUGGGAAGGUUAGGAAGAUGGACCAACAUCUUCAAACUUCUUCCUUAGCUCAUCUUUAGCAUAUGCAAUGCUUCAUUCUUUGCAAUAAGUGUGGACGUAGGAGACAUUUAAUUUUAAUUUUAAAGCCAUAACCUCCCCAUAUGGGCUAGGUGCUUGUUGGUACCUACAAAAAUUAGUAAUAAAGGAAGGCAAAAUCAUAGAAGAUACUCCCCUUGUGAUGCAUUCUAAAAUUGCAUCAAAAUUGAUGGCAGCAAUGUCUACGGAGUCAUCUUAAUAGAUUGAGUUGAUGAGUUUGGCUUUGUCAAUUGUGAUGUCUAAAACAUGUACAGAUAUCCAAAUGUUAGAUAACAAAAAAGUGGUCCAUAUCUGAGACAUCUGAGUCAUGCAAAACUUGAACACUGGACCACUUUUGUUGACCUACAGUCCUUGCAGGCAUAGGCUUCUUCUAACCAUAGCUUCAUCAUGUCCUACUCAUUCAACAGAUAAAGUUGCACUUAUCUUUUCUUGGUAAGCACAUAAGUCGUGUUCAUUACUUGGAUAAGGAGUACAUGUGUUGUCAAGGUAGUCAUUAAUCAUGUACUUAUCAUAAUAUACUUGUUCUCCAUUAACCCAUAUAUAUCGAUUUGCCCUUGCUUCACUUGAGACAAUUGAUUUGACAUAAAAUUGCUUGACAAUAUCCAAAGAGAACAUAUUAUUGGGUUGUGCAACAUUUUUCCAUCCAUACUUGUCAACAAGAAGUUGAACCCACCGAAUUCUUCUUCUUCUUCUAAAGUGACAAUAUUUUCCAAGAUUGGUGCACUUUUGAGAGUAAUCUCCUUGAACUUUUGAUUUGCUUCUUUAGAGAAAAAUGUUUUGCCUUUGGAGGUUAAUUUAGACUCUUUGGCAACCUCCUUGCCUUUCCUUGAAGAAUGCCUUUCACUCAUACAAAAUUUUAUUAACAUGCAAUUUCCAAUGCUAGGAGUUAGUCACAUAAAUUCAAGACAUAAUUAAUCAAAUUGGCACACAAGUUUUCCAUGCUCCAUACGGUUUCUUAUUAAAUUCAAGGUGUAAAAGUGUUUCAAAAAUUUUGUGUGUGAAGUUUUAUUUUGAUCAAAAUAACCCCAUAAUCACACUUUUUCAACCAAAGAAUCAUAUUUUCAACACUUUCACAAAAAGUACUCCAAGUAAAAAAAUUCAAGAUCAUUGCUUGUAGUAUGAAUUCCCAAACAGCCACAUACUCAAAUUGAUGCAUCAAAGCAGAAUUAUUUGAUGUUUCUUAAGGCUAUUGGUUCAUGAAAAAUUAGCAAUACAAGACAAAGUUUACAAGGAAAGUGCAAGUUUUUCCAAGGUAGUCAAUUUUGAGCAAUUAUCGACAUUUUUAUUGUUGUUUAUGGAAUGUUUUAAAUGUGUUUCAUGCCAAAUCAAAUCAUAUUUAAAGCCACAAAACAAAUUUCAAUGUGGUUUAAACUUUUGAUAUUUUGAACAUGAUUUUAGCUACAAACUUAUUCGACUUACCAAGUAUUUUCAUCAUCUGGUUGAACCACUUUUCGAACAUUUUGGCUAGCGAAACAACAACCCCUUUUUCAUUCUUUUAUGCAUCAUGAACUAAGUUAAGUUAAGUUAAAAGUGGUCACAAAUUUUGUGAUUCAACCAAAUGCAUAAUGUGAGAUAAUCUAGAAAAAAUUUCAAAGUCAAAACAUAGAUUUUUUUACUUUGUGAAAAUUUUCACGUGAGCUUAGUUUAGUCAUGUCUUAAAAACAGCAAACACGCAUAUUCAUAUGCAAAAAUAAGUAAAAGCAAGCAUUAUGUAUAUAUUCUUCACAAGAGUUCAAGAAUAUAAAGUUUUAUAAUUGUUGAUUUGAGAUUUUGUUUGAAAAAAAAAAUUAAUUUUGUUUUUUAGAAAAUUUCAAAAAAAUAUUUGUUUCAAGGAAGAACAUAAAAUGACAAAAAUCAAAGCUUCAUAAGAAGAAGAUUGAGAUACUUACAUAAUGAGAGAAUGAAAUUUGAACUUUUUGAGAGCUUUUGGAGAGAAGGGAAAAGAUAUCAAAAUGAGAGUUAUUAGUCCUAGGAAGUGAGUCAAGUUGGUCAAAAAGGUGAGGUAAUCAAGUGAUAAGAGGAUAAGAGGAAAUCCUCCAUUGAAGGGAUUUUGUCCAUUGGGCAGCCAUAUGGCAUGCCUAGCUAGACGUUGGGUGCCCCUGGCCAGGUUCUGGUCGUGUUGGCUGAGUUGACCAGCCUUGACUUGGCUUAGGCUUGGCCUUGGCUUGGCUGGGCUUGGCCCAAUCACUCCUUUUGCAUUUGUUUAAGCUUUUUGAUAUUUUUCGAAGUAUGUUCUUCUAAGACAUCAUAUGGCUACUAUUAUUUUAAUUGUUUUGAAAUAAUACAUUUUUAUGGCCUAAAUUUUUAUUUUCUCUUACUCUCUUUUUCAUUGGUGAACUUCUUUUUCUAAAAAUAAAUUAAAACGAAGAGAAGUAUGAAAAAGAAGAGAUAUAUUUAUAUAGGAUUCAAAAUACACUUAGUUGCCUUCCACCAAGUGCUUCUUUAACGUCAUUAGCUUGACACAUGUUACCUAAUAAGCUUUAAUCCACCACCUUUUAUGGCUCUGAAGAGCCAACUUCACCUCAUAUGAUAGCAUUAUAGUGUUUUCUUCGAUUGACUUCAGUGUUGGCUAGGAAAGUUGAUUUCUAAUUCUCAACCAACUGCUUGGCAAGCUGCCUAAUCUGUAUUUCCAUAUUUCGUAGAGAAGCAUUUGUAUUCUUCUGAUUGGAUAUUGUCAAUUGCAAGACUUGAUUCAUCUUGUCCUCUAAUUUAGCAUUCUUAUCAUGUGUGGGAUGUUGGAACUAAUUGUUCCUCUAGUAAAAUUGAGGUGGUGGUUUAUGAGGGUUGUCUUGUCGCCAAGGCUGAUUUCCUUGAUACUAAUUAUUACCCCCUUUGGGUAAUUACUCUGAUAAUUCUGUCUUGGCGGGUUAGCAACUAAAUGGACAUCCCCAUUUUUGGGAUGACAAUGGCCUGCUUCAUAUUCCUCAACACAGUUGUCACAUCUAAAGACUUACUUCUUUGAAGAUUCUCUUUGUUGCCUAGGAAGAUCAUUCAAUUUUUGGUUCACCUCGUCCAGUUCUCGUUGAAGUAGUUUGUGUUGGGAAAAUAUAGCAUCUAUUGGUCCCAACUCAAGAAUCCCAACUCUCCUUGGUGAUGGUUCUCUUUGGUGUUGACUUUUUUGAUCAUUUAAAGUCAUUGACUCAUUCAUGUCAAUAGCUUCCGGCGAAGGUUUUGUCAUCUAUUGUCCCCCCACAGUUGCAUUAAAAAUUCACUUUUGUUGCUGCUAUAAUCCAUUUAUAAAGAUAUGGAUUUGGGUCUGAACAUCGAACCCAUGAUCCAAAAAAAAAAUUAGCAUAGAUUUAAAUCUAUCCUAGGAUUCACAAUGAUUUUAUCCAGUCGGUUGCACAAAAGUUAAGAUGGUUGUCUUCAAAUCCAUAAACUUCCCUUGCGGAAAGUAUCUGCUCAUACUCUUCUCCUCCACCAGGUUUCAGUUGUUCUGAAUAUGUGGAGGAAGAUCCAAAAACCAUUCUUUUCCUUUUCCAAUGAGAGUCAAAGGAAAGAGCCUUAGAAAAAUGGUCUCUUCUUCUGCCUCAGAGAUUCCAGCAGUUCUGACCAAUUGAUAAACUUUUCUUAGAUAAUUGUAGGGAUCUUCAUGAUCUAAGCCUUCAAAUGGAUUGGCAAACAUCAGUUGUACUGAUAAGUGUGAAAUUAUGCUACAUUUGCAUUGCAUUUAGCUUGCAUUUUAGGAGAUAAUUAAGAAUUUAGGAUUGUUUUUAAUUUUUAUUUCUCUUUGUUCAGGUUGAGUGGGUAUUUUUGAGAUUGGGUGCAAGAAGAUGAAAUUCAAUGUUGAGGCUAUGUGAAGAGCAAUUAGAGGGC